AAAUGGCAAUGAGGCGAAGAAACAUAGUCCCCAUAUGGACGCCAUGGGAGUAUGUGGAGCGGGUGGCGUAACCUGCAUUGCAAUUU
RNAcentral lists this non-coding RNA (86 nucleotides) under unclassified sequences. Its description in RNAcentral is "c-di-GMP-II sequence". It matches the Rfam family "Cyclic di-GMP-II riboswitch aptamer". The record is from RNAcentral.